CAGCAGCAGGCACAGACACCCCCAAGCCUGUGAGGGCAGCAAGAGCCUACCCAAGUCACCAUGAGUGCAGAGUGCUGCAGAGACACCUGAGUCCUGUGCCUGGGAUGGCACGGCUCCCACCCAGUCCAUGGAGCAUGAUCAGCGCUUGAGACAUUUUGCAGACCCUGCACUUGAUGAAUCAGCUGACAACACCCAGAUCGAUAAGGUGGCUCAUCUGAUCUUGUGGCCACCACCCAGGAACUGACUCAGUGCAAGAAGGCAGCUUCAACUCCCUAAGAUUUCAUCUCUGACCUGACCUAUCAGCACUCUUGGCUCACUGGCUUCCCCCAACCCACCAAGUAGUCCUUAAAAACUCUGAUUCCCCAAAUGCUCAGGGAGG
This 379-nucleotide long non-coding RNA is filed under the name Homo sapiens (human). RNAcentral describes it as "HSALNT0347355". The record is from RNAcentral. Lineage: Eukaryota; Metazoa; Chordata; Mammalia; Primates; Hominidae.